This 1199-nucleotide long non-coding RNA is filed under the name Cricetulus griseus (Chinese hamster). RNAcentral's name for it is "lncRNA (ENSCGRG00015036066.1)". Lineage: Eukaryota; Metazoa; Chordata; Mammalia; Rodentia; Cricetidae. The record is from RNAcentral.
GGAAAAUUCCGUCUAAAGUUCACCCCAGAGCGCUGCGUUACAACGAGAAAACUGCGGGCAGCUGAAACAGUCCAUAAUGAACAGCAGCCUAGAAAUCGACGGCCCUGCCUGGAUAUGGGUUUAUAUAAACCUGGGGCUGGCCUGGAACUUGCAAGGAUCCUCCUCCUGCCUCCUGAAAAGGGGUGAUGGGCACCAACGUACCAGCAAUUUAGACUCUAAAAAGAACCCAAAGAAGCUCAGUGUGGUGGCUCAGGGUCUUCAAUCCUAACACUCAAGGGACCGAGGUAGGUGGAACUCUUGAGUUCAAGGCCAGUCUGGUCUAUAUAGCAAGUCCCUCGACAGCUAGGACUAUGUAGAGAAAACCUAUCUCGAAACAUACAAACAACCUCCCCACCCCCACAUAUACGUAUGUGCUAUGUCCUUUUUUUCCUUUCUGGUGGUGGUUUUGUUUGCUUGCUUGCUUUUUGAGACAGGGUUUCUGUGUGUCCCUGGCUGUUCUGGAACUCACUUUGUUGACCAGGCUGGCCUUGAACUCACAUAGAUCUGCCUGCCUCGGCCUUCCUUGUGCUGGGACUAAAGGUAUGCACCACCACACUGGGCUUGCUAAGUGUUCUUAACACAGACACACACAGACACACACACACCCCAAAAGUACCGAGGAAGCAUUACCCAAGAGCAUAAAAUAGUGUGUUAAGUGUGCUCCUUAGGGAGAUGUUCACCAAGAGGGUGAACAGAUGUCUCUGGGCCGGUGAGACAGCAGGGGAUGUUCCCUUUUUAAUGAGUGUAAGUACCAAGUGUAAGUACCAAGACAGGCAGGCUUUUUUCAAGAGACGGAGAGAACUGUCCGGAGAAAAAGGAAAAUCCUAUGCAGAUACUAAAAUUGAAGAGACUGACACUCUAAUUUCAGCUAAGAAGCGGUUACAGAAGAGAUUGUUGUCCGUCAGCAAAAAGACUAGAAAAAAAAAAAAAAAAAAGGCCAAAGGAAACCCCGGGACAAAUGGCUAACUGUGGUGCCUAUUAGCAUGCAAAGCACACACUGGAUAAGUCUGUACUUGUGGCUUCUCAGCUUCCCCUACCCUAAACUCCAGCUCCUGGGUUUCCCUUCUCCCAUAUAACCCUCCCAUUUUGGCCGUGUGCCCUCUUUGGCUGGCUUCGGUCUACUGGUCAAGUUCACUUUCUCUCCCUGCUCUGGACCCUCC